This 254-nucleotide ribosomal RNA is filed under the name uncultured bacterium. RNAcentral describes it as "partial 16S ribosomal RNA". It matches the Rfam family "Bacterial small subunit ribosomal RNA", at positions 524 to 776 of the family's 1533-position model. The record is from RNAcentral.
UACGGGGGGAGCAAGCGUUGUUCGGAUUUACUGGGCGUAAAGGGCGCGUAGGCGGCCACCGCAAGUCAAUUGUGAAAUCUCCGGGCUUAACUCGGAAAGGUCAACUGAUACUGCGGGGCUAGAGUGCGGAAGGGGCAACUGGAAUUCUCGGUGUAGCGGUGAAAUGCGUAGAUAUCGAGAGGAACACCUGCGGCGAAGGCGGGUUGCUGGGCCGACACUGACACUGAGAGACGAAAGCUAGGGGAGCGAAUGGG